Molecule: ribosomal RNA, 469 nt
Filed under: uncultured Gammaproteobacteria bacterium
Lineage: Bacteria; Pseudomonadati; Pseudomonadota; Gammaproteobacteria
Description: bacterial SSU rRNA
Rfam family: Bacterial small subunit ribosomal RNA
Source: RNAcentral
GCCUAACACAUGCAAGUCGAGCGGAAACGACACUAACAAUCCUUCGGGUGCGUUAAUGGGCGUCGAGCGGCGGACGGGUGAGUAAUGCCUAGGAAAUUGCCUUGAUGUGGGGGAUAACCAUUGGAAACGAUGGCUAAUGCCGCAUAAUGCCUACGGGCCAAAGAGGGGGACCUUCGGGCCUCUCGCGUCAGGAUAUGCCUAGGUGGGAUUAGCUAGUUGGUGAGGUAAUGGCUCACCAAGGCGACGAUCCCUAGCUGGUCUGAGAGGAUGAUCAGCCACACUGGAACUGAGACACGGUCCAGACUCCUACGGGAGGCAGCAGUGGGGAAUAUUGCACAAUGGGCGCAAGCCUGAUGCAGCCAUGCCGCGUGUAUGAAGAAGGCCUUCGGGUUGUAAAGUACUUUCAGUCGUGAGGAAGGGGUGUACGUUAAUAGCGUGNCAUUUGGNCGUUAGCGACAGAAGAAGCACC